CCUACGGGAGGCAGCAGUGGGGAAUAUUGCACAAUGGGCGGAACCCUGAUGCAGCGACGCCGCGUGGGUGAAGGAGUAUUUCGGUAUGUAAAGCCCUAUCAGCAGGGAAGAACAGUGACGGUACCUGACUAAGAAGCACCGUCUAAAUACGUGCAAGCAGCCGCGGUAAUACGUAUGGUACAAGCGGUAGCCGGAUUUACGGGGUGUAAAGUGAGCGCAGGCGGCGUGUUAAGACUGGUGUGAAAGCGCGCGGCUCAACGGCGGGACUGCCUUGGGAACUGGCACGCUGGAGUGCUGGAGGGGUAGGCGGAAUUCCUAGUGUAGCGGUGAAAUGCGUAGAUAUUAGGAGGAACACCAGUGGCGAAGGCGGCCUACUGGACGGUGACUGACGCUGAGGCGCGAAAGCGUGGGGAGCAAACAGGAUUAGAUACCCUGGUAGUC
RNAcentral lists this ribosomal RNA (441 nucleotides) under uncultured bacterium. RNAcentral's name for it is "partial 16S ribosomal RNA". It matches the Rfam family "Bacterial small subunit ribosomal RNA", at positions 338 to 795 of the family's 1533-position model. The record is from RNAcentral.